This is a long non-coding RNA of Nylanderia fulva, 847 nucleotides long. RefSeq lists it as uncharacterized. NCBI's taxonomy places the organism in Eukaryota, Metazoa, Arthropoda, Insecta, Hymenoptera, Formicidae. The record is from RefSeq and is a predicted model, not a curated record.
UCUACCAAAUAUUAUAUUAUGAUGUCGUGUACCGAAUGCUGUCAGUUAUUGAAAGUCUCUCGAAGUUAUAAGAUCGUGGUAGUGUUGAUAAAUAUUUCCACAGUCAGUGACGAUACGAGACAGAGAAGCUGAUUGAAGCUAAUUUUUCUAAAGAAUAUAUAUAGAUAUCAAAGGCAAAUAUAAUUAUGACAAUUUAAAAUUAUUAUUAUGUGGCGGUUUAACAUGAUAAUAUGAAACAAAUCGUCGAAUUUUCUUUCGUGAAUGAGUUGCCAUCGUGACGCUAUACAUUGCGUAUAAAAUUUAUUGGUACUGUUGCUGAUAACGGAGGCUUUAGAGCAUCUCUUCAGUGAAAGGAGAGGAAAAUGGAAGAUGGAUUGCUGCAACACACUUUGGGACAACUAGCGCUCGCCGAUUGUUUCCAUGUUGGGACAAUCCGGAAUUGCGAGCGACUUUUGCCAUUUCUGUACUACACAGACGCAAUUAUAGGGUUCUCUCUAAUAUGCCAGUUCAAAAAUUAAUAUCAUUGAAAAUUUCAUGUUAUGUGGACACAUUUCCAUAUUACUCCAGCAAUAUCUACUUAUCUCGUAACAACAGUUGUAAUUCGAUCCGAACUGUACUGUACUCAUGAGAAAAAUGAGACCAUCCACAUGUGUUAUAGCAGAUAUUCUCCACCUCAUUAAUUAUAUGGAGAAGAAGUUAUUUUAAAUGUCACACUGUGCUUAGAAAGCGGAUGGAAACGAUCAGAAAUGAAUUCAAAAAUAAUGCAUAUAGCAAUACCUUUCCAAAGUAAACGCAUGGUGACUUUUGGGCUUGUUUUAUAUAAGUAAAUAUAUAAAUAAAAAAAAUA